RNAcentral lists this long non-coding RNA (323 nucleotides) under Elaeis guineensis (African oil palm). RNAcentral's name for it is "long non-coding RNA (EGUI_LNC008376)". The record is from RNAcentral. Lineage: Eukaryota; Viridiplantae; Streptophyta; Magnoliopsida; Arecales; Arecaceae.
UGGGACACUUCACUAAAGUCUCAAUCCAGUGGGACUCUUCAGCUAUAUGAUCAGAUCAAAAUUUUUAAUGUGUGUGAUCUCAUAGGUUCGAACCUAAGCCGGUAGCAUAGGAAUAAAUUUUUAUACUAAUCGAUGUAACCAUCUAGCAAUGGGAUCCAACGUUCGGAUAGACUGAAAGAUUGCAAAGCAAUAUUUUAGAAUCUACUAGUGUAUGGUUACUAUAUAACUCAUCCCUUUGAUCCUAAUGCUCAAAAUGAUCUAGGGUUUAACUGUCAACUCUAAAAUAGUCAACCACAUUAUAUUUCAAUAUUUUAAUCCAUCAU